AUUCAAUCCCCCAUUUUUUCGGGGGAAUUGCUGCUGGCGCUCAAAAAAACUUCUGGGUAUUUCAGACAAAGCUUGUAGCUUUUGCAUGGCUAAACAGCACCAUUCAAAGAACAAGAAGUGCUUUGUUUGCGACAAGCAAAAGGAUGGCUAGAGAGGGUGAAUUACAGUUACUACAUUUACUUAUUGAUCUAUUUGCUUUGAAGUCAUGUGGCAGGAAUGCUUCUUCCCCUCCCCACCUUUGGCUAAGUGUUGAAGAGGAAGUUCACUUUUGACUCUGAUAAAAUGUGGAAAUGCAUAACAACGGUGGAAGUUCACUUUGGUAAUGUAAGUUAACGAUCAGCUUUCGUCCAUUUUGUGGUGGUGAUGGUGUCUGAAAUUAUCUUGUGCUUAGUAUACUCCUUGUUUUGAAAUCUGUACCCACAAAAGAAGAGAUUAAAUGAAAAUACUUUACAGUAGAAUUUGAAUACUGUACCCACAGUUUAGUAACCUUUUUUACCAACUCUUUACAACAGGGACUGGAGGAUUUACAUAGAUACAGAGAUGGUUAGGAGGUAAGAGAUGUACACGACAAAACAGAGAGGGCAAAUUAAAUCCUCUACUUAUUUUCAUAUGAACAUCUCCUAUAUGCAUGUAGAAGAAUCUAAGCAGAAUGGAAUUAAACUCCUGUGAGUAUCUCCUUGGUUGCCAACCCGCUGCUCUCUAGAUUAUUUUCAUGGUUCCAUGAGUGUGGAGAUGGUGAAGUAAGUAGUGGCCACAAGAGAUUCCUCUGUUUUCUCACUUUCCGAACAACCAUCCUCGUGUGUUGCCUUAGGACUCCAUUCACAGCCUUUAGAUAGUUGCUCGAGUCAUGGUCUCGUAGGAUUGUACCUUCUGAACCGUAAGCUGUGGGAUCACUUAGAGUUUCUAGUGGAUGUGGGGAGUUCAAGAAAGCCCUAAGUAGACUUGAAGAGAAUCCACAUUGGGUCUUGUCCAAAGCAUAGAGGGCACACCCCAGAGGAAGUAGAGGGUGUGGAGGAGAUGAAUUUUCGUCAGGUUGGAGAAUGAAUAGUUUACCCAUGGGAGAGUAUAAUAUUUUCUGCAUAAAAACACAGUGAAUGAGAAAACUUGCUUGUACUUCAAAUUCAGUAGAUAGGUUAUCUAUAUCAAAUUCUACAUUUUCCUAUAUCUUUUUAUAAAGCCUUUUGAUUACAUAUGUUGGUCCUUACAGAUUCUGGUCUUAACUCUACUCUGUGCACGAAUAGCAUUCUUUGAGGUUAGAGUGGGAAAUGACAGAUGAGUUUAAAGCCAUAACCCUAUCUAUUUUUUGGUGGACUUCGAUACUUACAUUUUUUAUCAGACAAGGGUGUGACCGAAAUGAGCCAUUUAAACGCUUGAGAAGUGUGGCCACAUGGUUAGGGUAGUUGCAGGAGAAGGCUCUAGGGACAAUAUCUCUAUGCAUCAUCACGGAAUGGAUUUGAUUCUCAUCCAUGCCCAAUUGGUCAAGUAUUUUCUGGCCUCCGCAGAACACAAAUGGUGAGCCAAAUGUGACAACUGGCCGAAGAAUGGAGGGUUUUACAAGCUUCCUACUCAGUAGCAUCAAGUGGACUAAAAGAGAAAGGCUUCCUCCAAGAGAAUGACCUGUAAAUUGAAGUUUUGCUCGCUCACCGUGUUUAUUCAAGUGGUCGAUUAUUUCCGGCAUAAAUUGCUCGUACAUUCCCUUUGCUGCUUCAUAGAUUCCUCUGUGAACAAGUACAUCUGUCCCCUGUACAAGGACAUUGGGUUGUCAGUGGUUUCUCAAUUUCUUUCCUUCUGCAACAUUAACAAGUGGGGAAUCCGAGUCUAUGCUUACCUCAAAUUUGGUGGGUUCGAAGAAGAGGUUUGCUUGCCAGGAAGAGAGGGAGUCGGAACCCUGCAAGCAAAAAUAAUUUGCAUGUUAAGUAUUCAGCAAUCUGCUGCACACUAUCUCUUUGUUUCAGAAAUCAGAAGAUUGUGCCACUUGAACUCUGCCUUUGUAAUUCAUUAAUUGGAUAUCAAAAGACCUUGUAGAGCUAUUGCCAACUGAAAGUAGAGUUAAUGAUUUAUCAAACACAGAUCAAGUGGGAUCAAGGGCUAAGACAUUACCUGAAUCACAAAGCAACGAGUAUAUGUACUGGAGUCAUCACAAACAAACCAUUCACAAGGUGAGGAGUGGAGUGACUGAAGGUCCUUUGCUGUUUCUUGUUUCUCCCUUUCCCCUGCUGCAACCAUUACUGUCAUUGUCGAUGCUGCCAUGGAAACAGCCACCUCUGGUUUAUAGAUUCGAGUUGAGCUCCCUCCUUCCUCCCGUGAAUUCUCACAAUUUCUGCCUGAAUUCUCACCAUCACCCUCAUGCUGUGAUUUAGACCCAAGGGGAAGGCUAUCCUUAUCCCUUGAGCGCACAUAAGACGCAGCUGAGGCAGCAAUAUUGUAAGCAACAGAUGGACGGAUUGAACACUUCUGCUCGGAUUCUGCCGCUUUCUCUGAAUUGGAUUCACUAGCUACUUCGGCAGCUACAGGUGCACAAGUAGAGUCCUCAUCAAGUUUUGCUUUGAUUUCAUCUGCCUCGGCUUUCUUUUCUAAUGAAGAUGUUACAAACUGUAGCGCAUAAUACCUCUUCAAAUCAUUGGCCUGCACAUGCAUUAGCAGUGUGAAUUUAUUUCCUCAUGCUUGAAAUAUCCAACUUCUGUUUCACUAUAAAUUUUUUAUGUAUAUGUUAUGACUUCUGAACCAUGCUGAACAAAAACGUACCUUGAUCUGUGGGAUCACAUAAGCCAGGUUGCACAAGAAGGCUAGCUGAGAAAAAAGCUUGGUAUCAGACCAUGGUACUCUAACCAAAAAUUUUGAGAAAAAUUCAGGACUAAUUUCUCCAUCAUCUUCUUCUGAAGUAUAAUCCACUGCACAACCUCCUUCCUCUCCACCACAUUCACAAUCACCAUUUUCACCGUUGACACAAAAGUUGUCGUUUGUGCCUUCAUCUGCAACGUCUUUUUUCUGCCUAUUCCUCCAUUUACUUCUUAUUUCCACAAGCCUCUCCACCCAAUUGGCUCUUUUUCUCUCCUCAUCACCAGCACUCCCCUCAGAGUUCACCACCGUAUUCAUGUCCUUCUCCUCCUCUACGCUCAUAUGCUUACUCGUGUCUGGAUCAAACAAGAAUGAUCGAACAGAGUUUGGGAGAAUGGAAGUCGAAAAUUGAAAUGGGAAAAUCCCCAUCGAACGGCUGUUUUUCAGUUUUGGUUGUGUUGAAGCAGCAUGGAUACGAUUAAUGCAGUGACAAAGAUGGUUAUCCGAAUAAGACCUCCGGAUAGCAGCACGGUUGUAAAGGUCUUGGCUAGAGUGUGACCGCCGGAGACCAUUGUGCUCUUUGAAGAUUUCUGUUCUCCUGGAGGAAGCCGGAGAGGUAGGAAUAACCAGUGAACUGCAUGCCAUGGUUGCACCAAACUACAAGCAAUGAAGGUUCACUUCCUAUGUAGGGAUGACUUGCCUGGAAAAUAUUUAAACUCUUUUAGCCAACAAUUUGUAAUCCAUAAGAGGAUCAGAUGUUCCAGAACUCCUAAUUGUUUUUUAGCCGAGUUCCUGAAAGCAAACGAACAUAUGGCAAUGGAGUUUUAUAGAGCUCCCCUUCUAAUCA
Molecule: long non-coding RNA, 3625 nt
Organism: Prunus dulcis (almond)
Lineage: Eukaryota; Viridiplantae; Streptophyta; Magnoliopsida; Rosales; Rosaceae
Exons: 2
Source: RefSeq, a predicted model, not a curated record